GCCAUUGAUUGAGUCGCCCACUAUCAGGACAGGGAAUCAGCUUCAAGGCCCUGUUUAUCACGACGAACCUACUUGAAGCUGCUGCACUAGCAAAAAGAUCAGCCAAUUCUGACGU
Panicum hallii is the source of this 115-nucleotide small nucleolar RNA. RefSeq annotates it as small nucleolar RNA Z278. The transcript has a single exon. The record is from RefSeq and is a predicted model, not a curated record. Lineage: Eukaryota; Viridiplantae; Streptophyta; Magnoliopsida; Poales; Poaceae.